RNAcentral lists this ribosomal RNA (301 nucleotides) under uncultured bacterium. RNAcentral's name for it is "partial 16S ribosomal RNA". It matches the Rfam family "Bacterial small subunit ribosomal RNA", at positions 509 to 807 of the family's 1533-position model. The record is from RNAcentral.
CAGCCGCCACGGUAACACGUAGGUGGCAAGCGUUGUCCGGAAUUAUUGGGCGUAAAGGGCUCGCAGGCGGUUUCUUAAGUCUGAUGUGAAAGCCCCCGGCUCAACCGGGGAGGGUCAUUGGAAACUGGGAAACUUGAGUGCAGAAGAGGAGAGUGGAAUUCCACGUGUAGCGGUGAAAUGCGUAGAGAUGUGGAGGAACACCAGUGGCGAAGGCGACUCUCUGGUCUGUAACUGACGCUGAGGAGCGAAAGCGUGGGGAGCGAACAGGAUUAGAUACCCCGGUAGUCCCUGUCUCUUAUAC